AGAGUUUGAUCAUGGCUCAGGACGAACGCUGACGGUGUGCUUUAGGCAUGCAAGUCGAACGAGAAAGCCCUUUGGGGUGAGUAAAGUGGCGAACGGGUGAGUAACACGUGGGCAACCUGCCCCUCGCAGGGGGACAACCGGAGGAAACUCCGGCUAAUACCCCGUAAGCUCUACACGCCGCAUGGCGAGUAGAGGAAAGGUAGCUUCGGCCAUCCGGCGAGGGAUGGGCCCGCGGUGCAUUAGCUAGUUGGUGGGGUAACGGCCCACCAAGGCGACGAUGCGUAGCUGGUCUGAGAGGAUGAUCAGCCACACUGGGACUGAGACACGGCCCAGACUCCUACGGGAGGCAGCAGCCAGGAAUCUUGGGCAAUGGGCGAAAGCCUGACCCAGCAACACCGUGUGGGCGAUGAAGGCCUUCGGGUCGUAAAGCCCUGUUGAUAGGGACGAAGGGCGAAGGGUUAAUAGCCCCUAGCUUGACGGUACCUUUCGAGGAAGCCCCGGCUAACUACGUGCCAGCAGCCGCGGUAAUACGUAGGGGGCGAGCGUUGUCCGGAAUUAUUGGGCGUAAAGAGCGUGUAGGCGGUUCGGUAAGUCUGCCGUGAAAACCCAGGGCUCAACCCUGGGCGUGCGGUGGAUACUGCCGGGCUAGAGGGUGGUAGAGGCGAGUGGAAUUCCCGGUGUAGCGGUGAAAUGCGCAGAUAUCGGGAGGAACACCGGUGGCGAAGGCGGAUCUCUGGGCCUGUACUGACGCUCAUGUGCGAAAGCUGGGGGAGCGAAUGGGAUUAGAUACCCCGGUAGUCC
RNAcentral lists this ribosomal RNA (801 nucleotides) under uncultured bacterium. RNAcentral's name for it is "bacterial SSU rRNA". It matches the Rfam family "Bacterial small subunit ribosomal RNA", at positions 8 to 796 of the family's 1533-position model. The record is from RNAcentral.